Molecule: ribosomal RNA, 492 nt
Filed under: uncultured bacterium
Lineage: Bacteria
Description: partial 16S ribosomal RNA
Rfam family: Bacterial small subunit ribosomal RNA
Source: RNAcentral
AGUGAACGCUGGCGGUAGGCCUAACACAUGCAAGUCGAACGGCAGCACAGUAAGAGCUUGCUCUUACGGGUGGCGAGUGGCGGACGGGUGAGGAAUACAUCGGAAUCUACUUUUUCGUGGGGGAUAACGUAGGGAAACUUACGCUAAUACCGUAUACGACCUACGGGUGAAAGCAGGGGAUCUUCGGACCUUGCGCGAUUGAAUGAGCCGAUGUCGGAUUAGCUAGUUGGCGGGGUAAAGGCCCACCAAGGCGACGAUCCGUAGCUGGUCUGAGAGGAUGAUCAGCCACACUGGAACUGAGACACGGUCCAGACUCCUACGGGAGGCAGCAGUGGGGAAUAUUGGACAAAGGGCGCAAGCCUGAUCCAGCCAUACCGCGUGGGUGGAGAAGGCCUUCGGGUUGUAAAGCCCUUUUGUUGGGAAAGAAAAGCAGCAGGUUAAUACCCCGCUGUUCUGACGGUACCCAAAGAAUAAGCACCGGCUAACUUCGUG